This 478-nucleotide ribosomal RNA is filed under the name uncultured bacterium. RNAcentral describes it as "partial 16S ribosomal RNA". It matches the Rfam family "Bacterial small subunit ribosomal RNA", at positions 28 to 523 of the family's 1533-position model. The record is from RNAcentral.
GACGAACGCUGGCGGCGUGCUUAACACAUGCAAGUCGAACGGUAAGGCCCUUCGGGGUACACGAGUGGCGAACGGGUGAGUAACACGCGGGUGAUCUGCCCUGCACUUCGGGAUAAGCCUGGGCAACUGGGUCUAAUACCGGAUAGGAACAUGCGCUUCACGGUGUGUGGUGGAAAGCGUUUGCGGUGUGGGAUGGGCCCGCGGCCUAUCAGCUUGUUGGUGGGGUAAUGGCCUACCAAGGCGACGACGGGUAGGCGGCCUGAGAGGGUGAACGGCCACAAUGGGACUGAGAUACGGCCCAGACUGGUACGGUAGGCAGCAGGGGGAAAUAUUGCACAAUGGGCGCAAGCCUGAUGCAGCGACGCCGCGUGAGGGAUGACGGCCUUCGGGUUGUAAACCUCUUUCAGUAGGGACGAAGCGCAAGUGACGGUACCUACAGAAGAAGGACCGGCCAACUACGUGCCAGCCGCCGCCGUAA